RNAcentral lists this long non-coding RNA (3857 nucleotides) under Mytilus galloprovincialis (Mediterranean mussel). Lineage: Eukaryota; Metazoa; Mollusca; Bivalvia; Mytilida; Mytilidae. The record is from RNAcentral.
AGCACAACACUGGACCACUGCACCGAACCUGAACAAGUAAGUCUUAAUAUUUUCUCUCAAUUUUGAAUUGACUCUACAGUCUUCUAUUGACAACUAAAGUUAUUCUCUCUUGCUAAGAGGUGUAUCUCCUUCUCAUACUUUUCUUCGAAUUUCAAAAGAGAGAAAAAUUGUUUUUGUUCUUGGACUGUUCAAAGUAGGCUAUAGGAGAAUUCAUGUACAAUAUAGAUAUGCUACAAUUGAACAGUCUGAUCCAAAUCAUGCUUCUUAUUCACAAUAAGGGAAUUAUCCGAUAGAUUCAAAUUACUUUCAUUUAUGGCCAUGGUAUUAAACAAAAGUUAAUUUAUUGAAUUUUAUAUAUUCUAUUUUUUAGUGACUUAGAAUAGCUAUUUUUCUUUCUUCCUUUCAAUUGAUUAACAUUUUUAGGCCAUGCCGGGACUUUUUAAAGCUAAAUGUAAGGUCCAAUGAAUGCCUUUCUCAUUUUCGAAGGCCGUACGAUGACCUGUUGUGGUUCAAAUAUCUGUUCUCUAGUCUAUGAGUAAUUGUUUCACGGGUUGCCAUACAUUUCAUUGUUUUAUAGAAAUAGGAGGUGUCGAACAAAUAAAAAGGUUUGAAAGAAAAUUUCAAUACAUUGAUUUAUUAAGCUGUUUCCAAGAUUACUGAAAUAUUGUUUAAAUUUCAGUUGUUAUCUUAUAGUUCGUUUAUGUGUGUGUUGCAUUGUCUUUUUUGUUGCAUUUCAGCCUUUUUGUUGUUUUGUUGUUUUACUUUUAUAGUUGAUGUGUUUCCCUCGGUUUAGUUUGUUACCCGGAUUUGUUUUCUCUCAAUCGAUUUAUGACUUUCAAACAACGGUAUACUAAUGUUGCCUCUAUUUGGCUCAUAACUUUUAUCGAGAUAUACAUUGAUAAAAUAAACUACAUUUUUUGUUUAUAAAUCUCUGAUGGUAUAUUUUGCUUACUUAGACGUUAUUUUUACAUUAUCCCGUAUUAUUUGUUUAAUGUGGAAAAAAGUGUUCAUGUACAUAUUUUAAACGUUUAUGGGCUUGUUCUCAUACAAAAUAAAACAUUUCACGAAAACUCUAAUUAAGUUAAUGAUCAAUUUAAUCUUAUCCACGAUCAAUGGGGCAUGUCCGGUAAAGGCAAAUGUUGGCCUAAAAUUUGAACUACAUCUGAUAAUUUUUUUGUUUGCAAUUUUCGAAAGACUUAAAAAUGUCUACUGUCCAUUUAAAUUAAUUAUAAAUUGCUGAAAAACAAAAUUAUAAUAUCAUAAAAAUCUAUGAAAUAUAUAACAUAAAACGUCAUUGUUAAGAUGUAUUACUUUGAUCUUAAAUGUAAGUGACCGCAGUCGUGUCUAGUCUCAACCUUUAUAUAUGUUAGGCUUCAUCCAAUACAUACUAUAUUUGAAUAUAAAGAUUAAACACAAUGCGGCCACUUCCAUUUUAGAAAAAAAACUCUACACAUUAACACAAAUGCUUAAAUUUUGAAGAUUUGGGUACUAAUACAUGAAUUAAUGAUACCUUCCAAUUACAAGGGGUUCUAUCAGUCGUAUGCCUUUUACUCAUAAGAUAUUUUGUAACAAGAUGUAUUAAUUAGCAAACGCAUGAACAAAUAAAAGUCGACAGUGUUUGUAGAACCCUUACACAUUUUUUUUUAACAUAUAUCUCGAAAACAAGAACUCAAAAUUAUUUUUGGCUUUUUUCGUUUCUUAAUUUAUGUACUAUCGAUAUAUUAUAGCCUUUUUGAAAGCUGUUAUUUUGAAACAGAUUAGCGAACAUCCUUACAUUUGUAAUACAUGAUUUAUAUAGUUUUGUUUUGUCUACGACAGAAUGAAGAUCGCUAUUUGCGUAUUGAUUGCCAUCUGUAGCUCUGUAAGCGCUCUCUCGAAAGGGGGAUACGGAGGCGGAUACGGAAUCGGAUACGGAGGCGGUAGACGUGGAUACGGUGGAGGUGGAUAUGGAGGAUAUGGAGGAUAUGGAGGAUUCGGUGGUGGUUUAGGAGGAUUCGGUGGUGGUUUGGGAGGAUUCGGAGGCGGUUUAGGAGGUGGUUUAGGAGGAUACGGUGGUGGUUACGGGCGAGGAAGAUACGUAGGAUACGGACAAGUCUUUGUUGUAAGAGGGGGAGGAUAUGGUGGUUACGGAGGGGCACUUGGUGGCGGACUUGGUGGUUAUGGAGGAUAUGGUGGUUAUCUUGGAGGUGGUCUUGGAGGAGGAAUCGGAGGAGGUAUCGGUGGUUAUGGAGGAUAUGGUGGUUUCGGACGAGGAAUUGGUGGCAUUGGAGGAGGUAUCGGAGGAUAUGGAGGUUAUGGUGGUUCCGGUGGUUAUAAAUAUGGAAAGGGCAAAGGUAAUAUUAAAAGUCACUAUUUUAGAGAUAAUUGUAUUGCAUUUUAAGCUCCGAAGGCAAUAAAGCACCAAUUGAUGCUUCUUAUGAAACUGACAGAAACCAAAGCGAAUUCAAAAAUUUAAAAUCUGCCAUACGUCGUCUGCGCUUACGUGUAAAGUUUUAAUAACAUCGAAAGUGAGCUGGUGACAUGAAAAUUAGUGACGUUAUUUAAUCAAAAAGAACGUUACAAACGAUGCUGCAGUAGAAUAGAUAAUUGGUAUAAUUGCUCAUAAAAAGGCUUCGUUUCUUUUGUCUGUUUGGUUACUUCAGAUAUGUUGACAUGAUAUUCUCAAAUCUCUUCCUUCAUUGCGUCUUACUGAUCAUAAUUGCAACAAGAAUAAUUUAGAGGAAAAUUGUAAAUUUAGGAGAUAACCAUAUUAUAUUUUAAGCUCCGACUGCAUUAAUUUGUGAUUUGAUGGUCACAGAUAAGUUUACUGGAGACGCCUUAUCGGAGCCAGUAAACGGGUACCAUCAAAUCACCAAUUGAGGCAAUAGUAGCUUUAAUACAAUAUUGUUAUCUCCUUUCUUAUGAAAUGCUUGAAAACAACACCAAGUCUUACAUUUAAAAUCUGUAAUACGUUGUCUGCGCUGGCGUGCUAAUUUCCAUAGCACCAACUGUGCCAUGAACAUCGGUGACGUUAUCCAAUCCAAUUGAACGUUACAAACAAUGUUGCAUUAGUUUAAGAAAUUGAUGUCGUCAAUAUUCAACAAAAUAAACGUAAAAUUCAUGCGCAAAGGUUAUUUUCUGAAGAAUUCGAUAACUUGUUUCUACUUCAACGGAAUUUCUAUAGCAAAAAAAUCCAGAUCGAGACUUAAUAUCACAGGACCAAAACAAAUAACAUGCGUUUCAAUUAGAAACUGCAAUUGGUAUCUAUUAUACAAAAAUUAAGACUGUUUCCGAAACAAAUUGCAGGUUUAAUCCAUGUUUAUAAAACUUUGCUUUUAAAUUCAUAUUCUUUUUUCUUCUUGAAAAUUAGUAGUUUUGAUACAUUGUCAGAAACUUGAUGUCUAAAGAAGUCGAUUUUUUUGUAUUAAACUUAUUAAUCAUUUCGCACAAAACCACGGAACAUCCUCUCUUUGAAAGGACACCGUCUGUUGGUAAUUCAUCCUAAUACUAGUCAAAAUAUAACAAAAUUGGAUAUUUAUCAUUAAAGAUAUAACGUAAUCAUACAAAAGUCUUCGCCCACAUGACAUUCUCACAAAACAAUAAAAAUUAAAAGACACUAAGAAGAUUGCGAUGUGGUAUGAUUGGCAAUGAGGCAACUCUACAUCAGUGACCAAAUGAUAUAUAUAGAAGUUAUCAACUAUAUGUCACCAUACGGCAUUCUGCAAUAAACAAAAUUCCUACCAAUGUUAACACAAUAUAUUUUUUUUCUUCAGGAUAUUAAAAGCAGAUUCUCAUCCAAAACAAACUGAUAUUACCCAAAACGGACAACGAAGGAUUUGAUUUUACAUUUCUGUUAUAAUAUAUAAUCGUUGCAUUCA